This 657-nucleotide ribosomal RNA is filed under the name uncultured fungus. RNAcentral describes it as "eukaryotic LSU rRNA". It matches the Rfam family "Eukaryotic large subunit ribosomal RNA", at positions 23 to 664 of the family's 3401-position model. The record is from RNAcentral. Lineage: Eukaryota; Fungi.
ACCCGCUGAACUUAAGCAUAUCAAUAAGCGGAGGAAAAGAAACUAACAAGGAUUCCCCUAGUAACUGCGAGUGAAGCGGGAAAAGCUCAAAUUUGAAAUCUGGCAGUCUUUGAUUGUCCGAGUUGUAAUCUAGAGAAGUGUUACCCGCGCUGGACCGUGUACAAGUCUCCUGGAAUGGAGCGUCAUAGAGGGUGAGUAUCCCGUCUUUGACACGGACUGCCAGGGCUUUGUGGUGCGCUCUCAAAGAGUCGAGUUGUUUGGGAAUGCAGCUCAAAAUGGGUGGUAAAUGCCAUCUAAAGCUAAAUACAGGCGAGAGACCGAUAGCGAACAAGUACCGUGAGGGAAAGAUGAAAAGAACUUUGGAAAGAGAGUUAAACAGUACGUGAAAUUGCUGAAAGGGAAACGCUUGAAGUCAGUCACGUUGGCUAGGAAUCAACCUUGCUUUUGCUGGGUGUACUUUCUGGUUGACGGGUCAGCAUCAGUUUUGACCAGUGGAUAAAGGCAUGAGAAAUGUGGCUUCUUCGGAAGUGUUAUAGUCUUGUGUUGUAUACAUUGGUUGGGACUGAGGAACUCAGCACGCCGCAAGGCCGGGGUUCGCCCACGUUCGUGCUUAGGAUGCUGGCAUAAUGGCUUUAAUCGACCCGUCUUGAAACACGG